GCCCCUGUGGCUCAGUCUGGUCAGAGCGGCUGACAUGUAAUCAGUAAGUCGCAAGUUCAAAUCUUGCCAGGGGCU
Molecule: transfer RNA, 75 nt
Filed under: Methanocella paludicola SANAE
Lineage: Archaea; Methanobacteriati; Methanobacteriota; Methanomicrobia; Methanocellales; Methanocellaceae
Description: tRNA-Thr (TGT) (tRNA-Thr-TGT-2-1)
Rfam family: tRNA
About the family: Transfer RNA (tRNA) molecules are approximately 80 nucleotides in length.
Source: RNAcentral